RNAcentral lists this ribosomal RNA (253 nucleotides) under uncultured bacterium. RNAcentral describes it as "partial 16S ribosomal RNA". It matches the Rfam family "Bacterial small subunit ribosomal RNA", at positions 524 to 776 of the family's 1533-position model. The record is from RNAcentral.
UACAGAGACUGCGAGCGUUAUUCGGAUUUACUGGGCGUAAAGAGCGCGCAGGCGGUCGUGCAAGUCGCGUGUGAAAGCCCCCGGCUCAACUGGGGAGGGUCACGCGAUACUGCUCGACUUGAAGGCAGGAGAGGGAAGUGGAAUUCCCGGUGUAGUGGUGAAAUGCGUAGAUAUCGGGAGGAACACCAGUGGCGAAGGCGACUUACUGGACGACUGUUGACGCUGAGGUGCGAAAGCGUGGGGAGCAAACAGG